UCGCUACUACCGAUUGAACGUCUUAGUGAGUUCCAAGGAUCGAGGUAUUCUGGGCCUUUGGCACAGUCUACUCUUGAGAGCAGGUGCAAACUUGGUCGUUUAGAGGAAGUAA
RNAcentral lists this ribosomal RNA (112 nucleotides) under uncultured eukaryote. Its description in RNAcentral is "partial small subunit ribosomal RNA". The record is from RNAcentral.